AUUGAACGCUGGCGGCAGGCUUAACACAUGCAAGUCGAGCGGGGGAAGGUAGCUUGCUACCGGACCUAGCGGCGGACGGGUGAGUAAUGCUUAGGAAUCUGCCUAUUAGUGGGGGACAACAUCUCGAAAGGGAUGCUAAUACCGCAUACGUCCUACGGGAGAAAGCAGGGGAUCUUCGGACCUUGCGCUAAUAGAUGAGCCUAAGUCGGAUUAGCUAGUUGGUGGGGUAAAGGCCUACCAAGGCGACGAUCUGUAGCGGGUCUGAGAGGAUGAUCCGCCACACUGGGACUGAGACACGGCCCAGACUCCUACGGGAGGCAGCAGUGGGGAAUAUUGGACAAUGGGGGGAACCCUGAUCCAGCCAUGCCGCGUGCGUGAAG
RNAcentral lists this ribosomal RNA (380 nucleotides) under Acinetobacter baumannii OIFC109. RNAcentral's name for it is "bacterial SSU rRNA". It matches the Rfam family "Bacterial small subunit ribosomal RNA", at positions 30 to 410 of the family's 1533-position model. Lineage: Bacteria; Pseudomonadati; Pseudomonadota; Gammaproteobacteria; Moraxellales; Moraxellaceae. The record is from RNAcentral.